UACGGAGGGGACUAGCGUUGUUCGGAAUUACUGGGCGUAAAGCGUGCGCAGGCGGUUUUGUAAGUCUGAUGUGAAAUCCCCGGGCUCAACCUGGGAAUUGCAUUGGAGACUGCAAGGCUAGAAUCUGGCAGAGGGGGGUAGAAUUCCACGUGUAGCAGUGAAAUGCGUAGAGAUGUGGAGGAACACCGAUGGCGAAGGCAGCCCCCUGGGUCAAGAUUGACGCUCAUGCACGAAAGCGUGGGGAGCAAACAGG
Molecule: ribosomal RNA, 253 nt
Filed under: uncultured bacterium
Lineage: Bacteria
Description: partial 16S ribosomal RNA
Rfam family: Bacterial small subunit ribosomal RNA
Source: RNAcentral